GGGCCCGUUGCCUAGCCUGGAUAGGGCACCAGCCUCCUAAGCUGGGGUUCUCCGGUUCAAAUCCGGACGGGCCCGCCA
This 78-nucleotide transfer RNA is filed under the name Candidatus Thorarchaeota archaeon. Its description in RNAcentral is "tRNA-Arg". It matches the Rfam family "tRNA". From Rfam's summary of the family: Transfer RNA (tRNA) molecules are approximately 80 nucleotides in length. Lineage: Archaea; Promethearchaeati; Candidatus Thorarchaeota. The record is from RNAcentral.